CAGAGGGCAAAGGAUGGUGGAAAGGAUCCAGCAGCUUCUUGUUCAGUGUGAUGAGCAGCUGCUUGGAAGUGGAGGCUCUGGAGCUGCUGCCCUGCUGAGCCCUGGGAGGGAGAGCACAUGGGUGGGGAAGGAGAGUCCAGAGCACUUCUGUGGGGCUGCUGGGCGCUGUCCUGGCGACUGCCCUUGCUGGCUUCUUGGCAGCCCCCCAGGCCUGGCUGUUACUGAGGAAAGCCCGGAAUAAUGCAGUGAGCCUGAGCAGCGUGGUGUGAAGAGCAGGAGGUCAGAUUACGGAUGCCCCUUGGAGCACCCCAGAAAGCUGAUACCUAUGCCUUCACCAGCAAGCAGCGUGGCACAGCAGGACCAGGCCUGUAGAGCAGAGGAGGGGCCGCAGGAGAAAAUGCUGCAGCCUCUGCUUUGCUGCUGCUCUCACCAAUGCUGCCAUGGUGCCCUAAGAUUUCUGGAUGGGACAAGCCCUGUGCAAACCCUCGGGACAGCAGCAUCCUCACUGGAGACACCUGGGUGUGCUCAGCACAGCAGCCCACGGCACAGCAUGGUGCAGUCGUGGAAGCAAGAAAAGCUCUCACUGCCCACUUCCCUUGAGCUACAAUGCAGGUCAGGCAAAGUCUGACUGUCCUGCUAGCUGAAAGACUUCUGCAUUAAAGACAGAGACAGGAAAAAAAAACAGGGACAAGUACCAAGAAAGCCAGUGACGUGCCCAGUAGCUACAGAGAGGUUCAUUUAAGGCUGUGGCAGGAACCUCUGGGGAGGGAAUCGUCUUGGAAGUGCCUGAGCAGUGAGUUGGAAACAGGCACGGCCUCCCUGCUGCUUUCCAUGGCAGGCCUGGGAAUAGCAAGAGGAAUGGGAGAGCACGAUACUAUUUGUUCUGUGUGCUAUAAAAAGUGACUAUUUAAGAUCUUGUUCUAAUAAAUGGAGCGAUGAAUUCCCCUUUCACUGUGACUACUGCUGAAGACAUGUGACUUAUUAGAUAUGCUGCUGUUGUAAUGGAAAUUACUAGCAAGACUAUUUAAUCCGAGAAGAGCUGAAUGUCUGGAGAAAGGGGAAAAAGGAUAGGGUGACACGAGAGAAAAGAAAGGCCUCAGCUGUGACAAUCUUGGGCACUCUGCACUAUUUGCUCUUUAAGCUGUUUCUCAAGAUCUUCUGGCAGAGAAGUGAUAAUAAAUUGUUUAACAACUCA
This is a non-coding RNA of Anas platyrhynchos (mallard), 1195 nucleotides long. The record is from RefSeq and is a predicted model, not a curated record. NCBI's taxonomy places the organism in Eukaryota, Metazoa, Chordata, Aves, Anseriformes, Anatidae.